AGAGGGUGCGAGCGUUGUCCGGAAUCACUGGGCGUAAAGGGCGCGUAGGUGGCCUGGUAAGUAUGGGGUGAAAUCUCGAGGCUCAACUUCGAGGCUGCCUCCUAUACUGCCGGGCUCGAGCAAAAUAGAGGCAUGUGGAAUUCCCGGUGUAGCGGUGGAAUGCGUAGAGAUCGGGAAGAACAUCGGUGGCGAAGGCGGCCUGCUGGACUCUUGCUGACACUGAGGCUCGACAGCGUGGGGAGCAAACAGGAUUAGAUACCCUGGUAGUCCUCGCCGUAAACGAUGGGUACUAGGCGCCGGAGGGAGCGACCCCUUCGUGGCCGUCGCUAACGCAAUAAGUACCCCGCCUGGGGAGUACGGCCGCAAGGCUG
This 371-nucleotide ribosomal RNA is filed under the name uncultured bacterium. RNAcentral describes it as "bacterial SSU rRNA". It matches the Rfam family "Bacterial small subunit ribosomal RNA", at positions 527 to 896 of the family's 1533-position model. The record is from RNAcentral.